RNAcentral lists this ribosomal RNA (469 nucleotides) under uncultured bacterium. Its description in RNAcentral is "partial 16S ribosomal RNA". It matches the Rfam family "Bacterial small subunit ribosomal RNA", at positions 27 to 507 of the family's 1533-position model. The record is from RNAcentral.
GGACGAACGCUGGCGGCGUGCUUAACACAUGCAAGUCGAACGGAAAGGCCCUGCUUUUGUGGGUUGCUCGAGUGGCGAACGGGUGAGUAACACGUGAGUAACCUGCCCUUGACUUUGGGAUAACUUCAGGAAACUGGGGCUAAUACCGGAUAGGAGCUCCUGCUGCAUGGUGGGGGUUGGAAAGUUUCGGCGGUUGGGGAUGGACUCGCGGCUUAUCAGCUUGUUGGUGGGGUAGUGGCUUACCAAGGCUUUGACGGGUAGCCGGCCUGAGAGGGUGACCGGCCACAUUGGGACUGAGAUACGGCCCAGACUCCUACGGGAGGCAGCAGUGGGGAAUAUUGCACAAUGGGCGGAAGCCUGAUGCAGCAACGCCGCGUGCGGGAUGACGGCCUUCGGGUUGUAAACCGCUUUCGCCUGUGACGAAGCGUGAGUGACGGUAAUGGGUAAAGAAGCACCGGCUAACUACGUG